RNAcentral lists this unclassified non-coding RNA (225 nucleotides) under Hevea brasiliensis (rubber tree). Lineage: Eukaryota; Viridiplantae; Streptophyta; Magnoliopsida; Malpighiales; Euphorbiaceae. The record is from RNAcentral.
GAUUUUUGUGACCUCAGACUGAAGUGUGCGCAAUGCCGUAACAGCAACUGGAGGUGCUGAUUCUUUGGCUUCAAAAGCACAACAUGCUUUAGAUAUCUCUUUUAUGGCAUCACUCAUGUAUGGGCAAAGAAUAUUUGAUUCUUCAAGAUCUCGAAAUGUGUUCUGAACCUCAGAUCCAUAAGCUGAUAAAGUACUCUGCAACAUCCCAGCAACUUCAUCAAGAGA